Long non-coding RNA from Callorhinus ursinus (northern fur seal), 472 nucleotides. RefSeq lists it as uncharacterized. The record is from RefSeq and is a predicted model, not a curated record. NCBI's taxonomy places the organism in Eukaryota, Metazoa, Chordata, Mammalia, Carnivora, Otariidae.
UGCUGUCAUCCUGUCACUAUGCUGCUGGCCCCUGCUGGCAGAAGUAUUCCUGUUCACGAGAAGACAGCAUCCAGCUCUGACCGUUGCCAGGAAGUGAGAGGCACCAAGAAAUGAGCUGAAAGCUUACCUAUGGGCUCCUUUUCCCAGCACCUCACUGGAAAGUAAUGAACAAACAAGGAAGACGGGCUUACCGGGUCUCGAACUUGAGCAACAACCCUCAGCCAUCAUGGACUUAAGGAAAUGAGCAUGCCAGUGUGUCACCACACAGGAAUAGACUGAAGCCACUCUGCAUGACAGCCCCACAGAGAAAGAAGCAAAACCAUGGAUGGCGGCAUCACAUGGGGCAAACGGAGGAAACUGUGCGAUCACUCAUUUCACAAAUACACGAUUUGCAUCUUCUCUCUUCCUCCCUUGAUGGUUGGCGUCCACUUUGCCCGCUAACGCCAUCAUCCGUUACAAAUGAAAAAGCCUU